RNAcentral lists this ribosomal RNA (292 nucleotides) under uncultured bacterium. RNAcentral describes it as "partial 16S ribosomal RNA". It matches the Rfam family "Bacterial small subunit ribosomal RNA", at positions 505 to 796 of the family's 1533-position model. The record is from RNAcentral.
GUGCCAGCAGCCGCGGUAAUACGAAGGGUGCAAACGUUGCUCGGAAUCAUUGGGCGUAAAGCGCACGUAGGCGGCUUGCCAAGUCGGACGUGAAAUCCCUCAGCUCAACUGAGGACGUGCAUCCGAAACUGGCGAGCUUGAGUACUGAAGAGGAUCGCGGAAUUCCCGGUGUAGAGGUGAAAUUCGUAGAUAUCGGGAGGAACACCAGUGGCGAAGGCGGCGAUCUGGGCAGAUACUGACGCUGAGGUGCGAAAGCGUGGGGAGCAAACAGGAUUAGAUACCCCCGUAGUCC